RNAcentral lists this ribosomal RNA (283 nucleotides) under uncultured bacterium. Its description in RNAcentral is "partial 16S ribosomal RNA". It matches the Rfam family "Bacterial small subunit ribosomal RNA", at positions 29 to 334 of the family's 1533-position model. The record is from RNAcentral.
AGCGAACGCUGGCGGCAGGCUUAACACAUGCAAGUCGAGCGGGCAGUAGACGAAUAUGUCAGCGGCAGACGGGUGAGUAACGCGUGGGAACGUACCUUUUGGUUCGGAACAACACAGGGAAACUUGUGCUAAUACCGGAUAAGCCCUUACGGGGAAAGAUUUAUCGCCGAAAGAUCGGCCCGCGUCUGAUUAGCUAGUUGGUGAGGUAAUGGCUCACCAAGGCGACGAUCAGUAGCCGACCUGAGAGGGUGAACGGCCACAUUGGGACUGAGACACGGCCCAA